RNAcentral lists this ribosomal RNA (468 nucleotides) under uncultured bacterium. RNAcentral's name for it is "partial 16S ribosomal RNA". It matches the Rfam family "Bacterial small subunit ribosomal RNA", at positions 28 to 507 of the family's 1533-position model. The record is from RNAcentral.
GACGAACGCUGGCGGCGUGCUUAACACAUGCAAGUCGAACGGAAAGGCCCUGCUUUUGUGGGGUGCUCGAGUGGCGAACGGGUGAGUAACACGUGAGUAACCUGCCCUUGACUUUGGGAUAACUUCAGGAAACUGGGGCUAAUACCGGAUAGCAGCUCCUGCUGCAUGGUGGGGGUUGGAAAGUUUCGGCGGUUGGGGAUGGACUCGCGGGUUAUCAGCUUGUUGGUGGGGUAGUGGCUUACCAAGGCUGUGACGGGUAGCCGGCCUGAGAGGGUGACCGGCCACAUUGGGACUGAGAUACGGACCAGACUCCUACGGGAGGCAGCAGUGGGGAAUAUUGCACAAUGGGCGGAAGCCUGAUGCAGCAACGCCGCGUGCGGGAUGACGGCCUUCGGGUUGUAAACCGCUUUCGCCUGUGACGAAGCGUGAGUGACGGUAAUGAGUAAAGAAGCACCGGCUAACUACGUG